Molecule: long non-coding RNA, 9334 nt
Organism: Vespula pensylvanica (western yellowjacket)
Lineage: Eukaryota; Metazoa; Arthropoda; Insecta; Hymenoptera; Vespidae
Exons: 3
Source: RefSeq, a predicted model, not a curated record
UUUGCACUCACUAGCACACUCUUUUUUUACUAUCCUUCUCUUACUACCCUUUCUUUCGAAUCGUAUUUCUCUCUCUCUCUUUCUCUCUCUUUCUCUCUCUCUCUCUCUCUCUCUUUCUCUCUCGUUCUCUCAUUCUCUCUCUCUCUUUCUCGCAUACUCUUUUGCUCCUCGACGGAGCGCGAGUCGGAGGAAGAGAGGCGCACAGGAUGGCGGGGCGAGAGUCGGCUUACUACGCGGCGAAACGCCUCGACGGCGUUCAGUCGUCAGCGAUCAGACCGCCGGGCAGUGCGGACCCACUCUUCCGAACAGUCACUCACUCUCUCUCCUACUCUCCUCUCUUUAUCUCGUAUACAUUAUACCCUGCAACUCCUACGUACCUGUCCAACUCAUAUUCGCGAUGUAUAUAUAUAUAUAUAUGUAUAUAUAUAUAUAUAUACACACAUAUAUACAUACACACGUCAAAGGACUUCUCAACUAUACUGGAAUAUUUAUUUCUACGAUAUUGGAAUGGUUUUCGAAGAAUCAAUCCACUCUUCCUUCCCUUCAAUCCCAAUUGCGAAUUUCUCGAAUUUGGAAAUCGCCGUCCGCGGAUUCGGUCACGAGGAGAAUACGUUCGAAAUACGUGACUCGAUCUUAACCGAGAAAUAGAGAGAGAGAGAGAAAGAGAGAGAGAGUGAAAGAGAAAAAGAGAGAGAAAGAGAGAGAGAGAGAAAGAGAGAGAGAGAGAGAGAGAGACAGAGAGAAACAGAGAGAAGAAUCGAACACGUUUUGGAAGAUCGUCAAAGAUCGUAAACUAAUACGAAUUCGAACGAAGGAUGGACGGAUUCACUCGGCUAUUUAUCUGAGGAAAGAUAAAGUGAACGUCCUCGAACGAAGACACAUCAUCGAGACGAGGACGACGGAAUUAUCUUACAACGUCGGAAGAUCUUGUAAAUAACGGAAGAGGAUAGAGUGUACGAUUCUAUACGACGAAAGUUUUUAUUUUGUAGUUCUCUUUUUUUUCUUUUUCUUUUUUUUUUCUUCUUCUUCAUCAUCAUUUUUGACAAUUUUAUUUCUCUCUUACUUGGUUCUUCGUGAUGUAUAAACGGAGUCGAGGAGAAUUUAAUCCGCGAACAACGGAACAACGGGUGUUACACAGGUCCAAGUGGAAUUUGUAACGAGCCGAGAAGUUUGUGCGACUUUACGUACCGGAGCACGUGGUAUUCGAAUUCCCGGAAUCAACAACAUAUUCUCGUCAAUGAAAGAGGACGAUAGACUUCGACCUCAAUGAAGACGAAACGAGAGCAAAAACAAGAAACAAAGAAAAAAGAAAAGAAAAGAAAAAAGAAAGAACAAUCGCACGAAAGAAGAAAGGGCGGUGAGUCGAGUCAGUUUACACGACUCGUUUUUAUGUGCGGAUAACGAAGGAAACAGUGUUACGAAGAUAGAAAUAAAUAAAGUAUUUAAUGUGCGGUAGUAAUAUCGUAACAGUGUGGGAGAAAGCUGCACGACAAUAUUUUCUCGAAGGGAAAUUCAUAAUCGGGCGUAUUUUUUUGUCGAGCGAGGAAAACGUACGCGCGGACGCGUUAUCCGCCGACGGAUGGACGAUUCGACGAUCGAGAAUGCGACUUGCGAGACUCAGCCACGCUCGCGGAGAGGAAUACGCGCGUCUCUUCGCGUGCGGACGGGAUAUCGCGAAUGAGACGAAUAGCAGGAGAAGCCGCUGACUCGUGGUUCGUCAAUUAGCGUGUCACGCUCGUUAUCGUGGAAAAUAAUUAGGCUGAACGCACCGGAGAACGGUUCGUUAGCUCGUCUUCUUUCGAGUACACAUAAGCGUUCGCGAUCUCUCUAGAAGCGAAUGGCGAAGUGAAUAUCGUAAAAGAGAGGAAGAAAGGGGACGGAGGAUGGGCGUAUAAGCGACAAGACGUCUCGACGAUAAAUACAUACGUUUAGGUGAAUACUUCUACACACACACGCGCAUACAUAUGAGCACACAUAUAGACACACAUAUAUAUAAUAUAUAAGCAAGCAACGUUUCUUGUGGAAGUGCCAAACGAGGUAUGCACGCGAAUCCGGUCAUUAAAUAAAGGUAAUCAAGUAAAUUUCUUUUACGAGAGUGUUGACGAUUAUUACUUCUCGCUCGCUAUCUGAAUCAUGAUGUCAAAAGGAAACUUUAAAUGAUAGAAAAUGUAUAUCUUAGAAUAUACAUAGAUAAGAGAUGAGUAGAAGAAGAGAUUAUUUAGAUGACGUUUUCAUUUUACAACUUUACCGUCUCGUUACUUACAUAGUAAUCGAUUGAAAAUAAAGCGACUAAGUUUAAUAUCGGAUAACCCGUAAUGAAUGAUAACUUACGACGUGGUUUAUAUCUUCUUUUCUUAUGAGAAAUAGAAGAAAGAGGAGGAGGAGGAGAAUCAGGAGGAGGAGGAGGAGGAGGAGGAGGAGUUAACGAACGCGACGAAAAGAGGGAAAACGGUAGGAGUCGUUCGCGCGCUCGAGCGACUCGCCUAAACACGCUAUAUAAGCCGGCACGCAUACGUUUCCAUAGAACAAAUAACUUGAGAUACGUUGCAGGCAAAAUGCAAUGAGUUAUGGCGCGGCAACAGAGCGGGCAAUAAAUUAUCUUUAACGACGUGGCGCGGUUAACGCAAGAGGAGGAGUAGGAAGAGGAGAAAGAGGAGGGGGAGAAGGAGGAGGAUGGUGAGAUAGGAAGUCCGAGAUGGCUCAUGAUCAUCCGCAUCACGAUGAUGAUUCCGCGAGAAUUAUCUCAUUAUCUUAUAAUACUAAUUUAUUUGUGUACGGUGGUGUCACUAAAUUAUCGAUAUCGACGAUAUCACGAGCUGCCUAUUACGUGUUAGAACUUUUCUAAUCGCUAAGUUCGAUCGGUAUUUCUCUUCCUCUCUCUCUCUCUCUUUCUCUCACCCUGCCUGUUACACUCAGUUAGGCAUGUAGAUAGUUUGAAUUUCGCCGAGUAGACGCGCGCUCGUUAGCUUGAAUGGCACGAUGCAUCGCGAGAACUAUGCUGCUUUAGAACGUGAGCGAGACUUAGGAAUGAGAAGAGAGAGAGAGAGAGAGAGAGAGAGAGAGAGAGAGAGAAAGUUCGUUUAUCGUUAGUUCCAAGAUAAAAGAUAAUAGACAAUGAGAUUUUUGAAUAGGGAAUGCUAUUUGUUGGAAAUUAACGAAUCGUUAACUCGUUUUUACAUAGAAGAGGAUGGAAGAUAGAGAGGGAAAAUUGUCAGAGCUUGUAAAAGCACUGCAGUAACGUGGGGAACGAAAUUCGGGCCCCGAUCGAAUGGCCCUGGGAUGAAUUUGCAUGCGGCCUUUUUAGCUCCAGGUGUCCCAGAAUUUGCAUACGAAAGGGUGGCUUUCGCGGAUUCCUCCCCUUUUCCCUCGUAACUCUUUCACUCUCCAUCUCUAUUUCUCUUUCUUUCUAUCUGCCUACCUCUUUUUACCCCUCCACCCUCCUCACCCCCUUCUGUAUGCGCGCGCAUCCGUGUAUUCUCGUUUAUGGGUUACCGGCUCAGCGUGUCGCGUCGUUAACUCGAUGUUAAACUUUCGUUAACGUUGAUCUUUAACAAUCACCUUUCUCGCGUCGGUGCGCCUUUGCCGAUCGAAUUCGCAAUCGACGAGAUAAUCUUGAAUGCCGAUUCGAAUUGAUUAUCAAUAACGUAUGUAGAAAAAGACAUGGUGAUCGAUAGUACCAACACUGCUUGCCGUGAAAUGUCGUUAACUUUUGAAGGAGGACGAAGAGAGAGAGAGAGAGAGAGAGAGAGAGAGACAGAGAGAGGGUUGGUUGCAGAGAGGAGAUACAGAAAAAGAAAGGAAAGAAAAAGAAAGACAUUUAUCGGUCUGCCUUAGCAGCACAACAGCAAGAACAACGGCCUUUUACUUCGAGCGUCGAAAUGUCGAAACACCAUUUUCCCAUUGAUUUAUUCGUUGUGAAAAGUAAGAGAGAGAGAGAGAGAGAGAGAGAGAGAGAGAGAGAGAGAGAGAGAGAGAGAGAGAGAGGGAGAGAGAGAGAGCGAGAGAGAGAGAGAGAGAGAGUGAGAGAGAGAUAAAACAAGAGAGCAAGAGAGAGAAAUAUAUUUAUCGCGCGAGAACGAGUUUAUCUUUUCUCUAUCGUUCGAUACGAAAUCCAACAACGUUCCGCCGCUAAUCAUUAAUAUCAAGUAGAUAUAUACCUAUCUACCUAUCUACUUACUACAGAUUGCGCAAACAUCGUUGAAACAACAAACAACGUUAUUUCCAGUUAACGCGCGCGAACGUAAGCGCACGCGCGAGCCAUCGAUUGUGGGCACAGGUGAAAAUGAGCGAUCGUAGUAGGAGAGAACAAAGUGUCGAAACCGAAAGCGGAUAAUGAUAGCCGCCGACGGCCGCCGUUUAUUUUUGGAACCCAUUUUUAUCGAGAACGCUUUAUCGUCUCGAAACUCGCGAGUUUGCUUUAUUCUUUCCUUUAUUUUUCUUUUCUUUUUUCUUUUUUUCUUUUUUCUUUUUUUUUUCUUUCAUUUUCUCUUUAUUUUUAUUUUAUUUUGCACGCACGAAAGAAGCGAUAAGCCGACGCAAGUAUCGUUCGUUGGCUUUUAGAUUAUUAUUAAACGAGCGUCCAUCCUCUUGGACACUUUUUCCGCCUUCGUUCACCCCUGACCGCAUCACCCUUUCUCUCUCUCUCUCUCUCUCUCUCUCUCUCUUUCUCUCUCUCUUUCUCUUCCUCCCCCUACCUAAUUAUUUAAUCUGGCCCGUAACCUCCUCGAUGUCAUUGCGCUUGACGCGUUUGCGCGCGCGGGCGCGCCUCGCGUGAUGAAAGAGAGGGCCGCGGCCAUCUUGUCUGACGUCAUCUCACGCCGAGCACGCAACCGCGAAACGCCGACUUCCUCGUUGCGAUAACACCUUAUUUUUUAUCGCUCCCUCUCCCCUUCCCUUUCUGCUCUCUCUCUCUCUCUUUCUCUCUUUCUCUACUCUAUCCGUCUAACUAUCUACCUAUCUUUCUAUCUUUCUUUCGUUUCUCUCUCUCUCUCUCUCUCUCUCUCUCUCUCUCUGAUUCUCUUUCUCACGUAACUACUCUUAGCGAGUACGUAUCUCCGCGUACAUCUCCCUUUAUCUUCUUCUUUUUCCGAUUCUCUUUUCCUCCCCUUUUUCUUACCACGGUACGAUCGCACACACGCAUAUAACACAUACGUUGGACGAGCACGUACGCCUUCACUUUCGGUUGCGACGAACCGAGACACCCCUCCCGCUGUAUAGAAAAUGGCGGAAUUUAAUGGACAAGCGCUCGGCCGCUAUUCGUUGCUCCCUAUGAAAUUUAAGGUAGGCGGUGAUUCGAUUUUAUCGACAUCGUUUCACCACCUACUUCGUUCCUUUCCUUCGAAUAUUUCACUAUCUCCCUCCUUUCCUUCCUCUCUUCCUUUUGCCUUCUCCUAUGGCGUUCUUCCCUCGUUUACACGUUAUGAAAAUACUGAGCGUUAGAUAGAAGUAGAGAGAUACGAAAAUACAGAACGAUCCAUGCCGAUCGAUACGACGAAGCGCGAUCGUAAAAGGAAAUCUCUCAUUUUGUAUCUCUGCGUGCUAUACAGGAUAAAGGUGAAUAGGGGAAUAUCGUAAAAGAAACGUACGGCGAUUAGACAUUUCUUGGCGGUAAAGAGAUAAAAGAAAUAACGACACGACAACGAAUCGGAGUCGGUUUAUUUAAGAAAAAUCGGUGAAACUCGUUAGGGAUUUCUUCCUUCUAAAGGAGGAAUUUCUUCUUAGCUUAGAUCAUCGGUUCGAGGUUCUCAUCUUCCUUCUCUCUUUCUCUUUGAAAGUUAAGAGAAGUAGAGAAAAGGAAAAACAAAAAAUUGAGGAGGGAGACUCGCGGUUAACUGCGGUCGUUGGCGGUGUCACGCGAUACGAGCGGAGACGUCGGCAAUUUAAAUUCGCGGAAGGCCGUAAUCACCGGUGCGUUUUGCGUUUUGCGUUAUUGACGAACAUAAAGGGGUCCCAAAGUGUACGAGCGAGAAAGAGAGAGAGAGAGAGAGAGAGAGAGAAAGAGAGAGGUCUCGGGGUAAGCGCUUUUGCAGAUAUGUGUUUACAACUGAUAUUAAAUCAGGCUUCCUUUACAGUCCCAAUAAAAUGCGACGAGUUCUAUGAGGCCCUGAUAUCGUUGCGCGUUCAACCUGGAACCCGUUCGAGACAAGUUUAAGAAUAUUGAAGGAUAAGAGGAGAGCCGCGUGCACUUCAGCGAGUGACCGAUCGAGCAAAGAAGAUUGUCGGAACAUCGCUCAUUAUAAUACCGGUUUUUCCACAAAAACACAAGAUUUUAUAGCUCCUGGCGCCUUGUGCGCGCGACUCGUCAUCGAUACGCUUAAACUCGACUCGUGAAGAACUCGCUCCGUCGCUCGCGCUUGAUAAAAAGAAACGCGGAACGAGAUCGAUAGCUACGAUCAUCGUUCAACGCGAUACACCAAACGUUUCUCGUCUCUUUCCAUCUGGAUUUGACGGAAAGUUCAUUUGGAAAUAAACAAGCAAUAUCUUUUUAUCCAUUGACGAUUUUCCUCUUUUUACUGUAUCUUUUAUCAAGGUAGAAUGAUAUAUAAAAUUCGACGAGUUUGAGAGAUACGAUCGACGGGGUUCGUUCGUCGUAGAGACGUCUUAAACGUGCGACGUUAUACGAAGCUUGCUUGUUCGAGCUUUCCAAGAGGCGUUCGCGGCACAAAUUAACAAUUUGUAUGUCGUGCAAGUGGAGUUAUGAUUAUCGCCGUGUCGUACCCUGCGAGCGAGAUUACCCGUGGUGACUGUUACUUGUCUACUUUACUGCCUACCGUGCCAGCAUUCUCCCUUUCUCUCUCUCUCUCUCUCUUUCUCUUUUGGUCUAGCUCUCGCUCUCUCUCGCUCUCACACGCAUACACUCUUGCUAUAAUAUGCUAAUAGGGGGAUGCUAACUUCCCCGUGUAACGACGGAUCGUCGGAUCGUGUUUACGAGGUGAGCCGACCCCAGGGCUUCCCUUCGUACCCUCGGCCAUCGCGAGAACGAGCGUGUUAAAAGAGAUAGAAAUAGAAAGAGAGAGAGAGAGAGAGAGAGAAAGAGAGAGAGAGAGAGAGAAAGUGAGAUGGUGUCUCGUUGCAUCCUCGUAAUUAACGAUCGCUUCGAAAGAGAAAAUCGGGCGCGAACGAAACAAUGAACGAUUUCGCGUUCCAUCGAGGCGUGUCUCGAAACGCGUAUGGGAGGCGUCGGGACGCCAGUAAUUAAAUCGAAUCGUCGGUUAACAACUUUUUUUCCAGCGGUAGAGCUAGUCGAGCGAUACGCGCCGGGUAUGGUGUUGACGAUUGCACGCGUAGAGAAGCAUUUUCGUCCGAGCUCUUUCCUGCGUAUCGUGCGCGCGAGUAAACGACAUACCGACGUAUAGGAAGACAAAAGAGAUAAAACAAUAUUUAUUGUAGUAAGCUCUGAAGAAAGAAAAUAAUUCAGAAAUACAGGUGCAAAUUUAUAAAAUUAGUUAUACUAAAUCCAAACGAUAAUUAAGCAUAGUGAGGAUUGUUUGACGAUUAGGAAUUUAUGGGAAGGUGAUUUUUAAAAAUAGAAAUCUAGGCCGUCUGGGUGGAAAAAGAGAGAGAGGUAGCAGGAAUAAAAAAAAAUCAAAAGAGUCGCUUGUUUGCACGCAUCGAGACUAAACGGCACGAAUCGAACGAUCGAGCGAAUUGUCGGGUUGAAGUUGGACCGUACGAGAGGGUGUAUGUGUGCGCGAGCAAGCGAGCGAGCGAGCGGACGAAAGAGGAUGGGAGAGGCUGGCUACGGGCGUGGUGCGUUCACGAUAAAAAUGGCGCUUCGUUUGCCGCGAGGGUGGCCCCUUUUACUUCCCAACACUAAAUGCCGUGUGUGCGAUGUACUACCAACAGACCGCCCCGCUUUGCUUGCUUGAAAAGAGUGCCCUUCCCUAUCCCCACCCCUACAUGCACCUACGUGAACCCUCGAUUAAGUCUCCAAUAACUUAUUACCAACGAACACAGUACAGAUAGACAGAGGUUUCUGAAUUUUAAAUAAAUCGAAUCAUUUUCAAAGUUUUCUUCUUUUUUUGUUCUAUUUUUAAAGGGAAAAAAGAUUCGUGGUCAUAAAUAAUAUAAUAUCUAGUUACGAGGUACCGGUUUUAUUAAAAAAUAUUAAACCAAAAGAUGUUCCCGAACGAGAGAAAUUUUCUCGUUCAAUCGUCGUGCCGUCGACGCAUCGACGCGAGCACGAGGGUGGUGGGACGUGUGCUAAAGUUCGAUCGAUAAUUAAAUAAACGAGGAAGGUCAUCCCGAAGCCCGGCAGCUCGUCGACGAGCUACGAGCCCGAUGGCCCGGACUUUAUGGGGUUUCGACGUUUUCUCUCGUACUCGUCUACCAAAACUUUUCCCUCUCUAUGCUUUUAUUUCCCCUUCCUUUUCUUUUUCUUCUUCUUUCUUUCUUCUUCCCCUUUUACUUUUCACGUUCGUCGUCGCGGCAGCGCGUCUGGCUUUGCGCCGACGAAAUCUGAUUAAAAAUUCGCUUGGUUGCAUCUUCUUCAGCCCUUUAACUUCGACAAGAUUAGGUUUUCGUAGAAAGAUUCAUCGAAGAACCCUUCUAAUUUUUUCGUAUCACGUGGCGUAACGAGUUUGUAACAAGAAACACGGCGGACAACGAUAUACAACAAACGAUACGUUUGAAAAAUGUCGGAAAUCGAGAGAGGGAGACUAGAAUUACGGAAAAAAGAGAGAAUCAAAUAGCGGACAAAAAACCGCAUGCGUUCGCGAGCGGACGAGAUUCCGCGACAUUUUAAUCGACGUGGCAUCGUAUUUACUCUCCAACGUGGAACAUACCUGCUCGUACAUCUGUGUAUUUUGGACGGAGGAGGAGGAAAAAAAAAAGAAGUGAAAAAUCGGAAAAAAACAGAGAGAAAGGGAGAUAGAAUAAGCGUGAAAGUGAGAUAGAUAUAGAAAAAAAUGGGACAACAGAGAACAGUGGUGAGGUUUUGGUAGGUGGAUGAAAGAGCGUGCAACCCCAGUACAAUUCCAUUUCCGGAUGGAGUAAAGCCGAGUCGGACGAUCGUUCGAAAAGGCGGUCGAGCGAUAAACCGAUUCGGACGGACGCGUUUCGACGAAAGGCCGCGCGCGCGAGUUAACGCGGAUUCGAAAUCGGAGGUCCACGAAACGGGCGAUCAUUUUACGCGUCUGUUCGUUUCGUGUUAAACUCGAUGUUACUCCUAUCGCGAUCGAGUGUCUAUCUCCUAGGGAACGUUUCGAAAUGAUUGGCGAACGCUACGAAACAUUUUUCUCGUUUAUCGAAAAACAAUAUGAGGCACAUCCGUUUGUAAAAUCGAGUAAACAAUAUAUACAUAUAUAUAUAUAUAUAUAUAUAUAUACAUAUACAU